RNAcentral lists this ribosomal RNA (322 nucleotides) under uncultured eukaryote. RNAcentral's name for it is "partial 18S ribosomal RNA". It matches the Rfam family "Eukaryotic small subunit ribosomal RNA", at positions 1470 to 1796 of the family's 1831-position model. The record is from RNAcentral.
CCCUUAGAUGUUCUGGGCCGCACGCGUGCUACACUGAGUAAAUCAAUGGGUAAGGGAACACGAAAGUGCAACCUAAUCUUCAAAUUUGCUCGUGAUGGGGAUCGACGGUUGCAAUUUUCCGUCGUGAACGAGGAAUACCUUGUAGGCGCGUGUCAUCAUCACGCGCCGAAUACGUCCCUGCCCUUUGUACACACCGCCCGUCGCUCCUACCGAUUGAGUGGUCCGGUGAGGCUUUGGGAUCUGAGCGGAAAGAGCGUUUCGCUGUUUCUGCUCGGAAAACUCAGUCGAACCUUAUCAUUUAGAGGAAGGAGAAGUCGUAACA